GACGAACGUUGGCGGCGUGCUUAAUACAUGCAAGUCAACUGAAGCAGUGGUAGCAAUAUCGCUGUGGAGGUGGCGCACGGGUGAGUAACACGUAGGUAAUCUGCCUUCAGGUCUGGCAUAACUCCGGGAAACCGGGGCUAAUAGCAGAUGAUGCAGCGGCUCGACAUCGAGACAGUUGUUAAAGCUAUGGCGCCUGAAGAUGAGCCUGCGUCUGAUUAGCUAGUUGGCGGGGUAACGGCCCACCAAGGCAACGAUCAGUAGCUGGUCUGAGAGGAUGAUCAGCCACACUGGAACUGAGACACGGUCCAGACUCCUACGGGAGGCAGCGGUAAGGAAUAUUGCUCAAUGGGAGAAAUCCUGAAGCAGCAACGCCGCGUGAGGGACGAAGGGCUUUUGCUUGUAAACCUCUGUAGUGAGAGAAAAAAAUCCCAAUCUUUGGGACAUGAUGGUAGCUCAAAAGUAAGCCCCGGCUAACUACGUG
This 481-nucleotide ribosomal RNA is filed under the name uncultured bacterium. RNAcentral describes it as "partial 16S ribosomal RNA". It matches the Rfam family "Bacterial small subunit ribosomal RNA", at positions 28 to 507 of the family's 1533-position model. The record is from RNAcentral.